RNAcentral lists this ribosomal RNA (484 nucleotides) under uncultured bacterium. Its description in RNAcentral is "bacterial SSU rRNA". It matches the Rfam family "Bacterial small subunit ribosomal RNA", at positions 28 to 507 of the family's 1533-position model. The record is from RNAcentral.
GAUGAACGCUAGCGACAGGCCUAACACAUGCAAGUCGAGGGGUAACAUUGUAGCUUGCUACAGAUGACGACCGGCGCACGGGUGCGUAACGCGUAUGAAACCUGCCUUUUUACAGUGGGAUAGCCCAGAGAAAUUUGGAUUAAUACCACAUAGUUCUAUUGAUUCGCCUGUUUCGAUAGAUAAAGUUUCGGCGGUAAAAGAUGGUCAUGCGUGACAUUAGAUUGUUGGUGAGGUAACGGCUCACCAAGUCGACGAUGUCUAGGGGUUCUGAGAGGAAGGUCCCCACACUGGUACUGAGACACGGACCAGACUCCUACGGGAGGCAGCAGUGAGGAAUAUUGGUCAAUGGGCGCAAGCCUGAACCAGCCAUGUCGCGUGAAGGAAGACGGUUCUAUGGAUUGUAAACUUCUUUUGUGCGGGAAUAAAUUUAUCUACGUGUAGAUAAUUGAAGGUACCGUACGAAUAAGCAUCGGCUAACUCCGUG